Molecule: transfer RNA, 71 nt
Filed under: Trichosia lengersdorfi
Lineage: Eukaryota; Metazoa; Arthropoda; Insecta; Diptera; Sciaridae
Description: tRNA-Asp
Source: RNAcentral
AAAAAAUUAGUUAAAAUUUAUAACAUUAGUUUGUCAAACUAAAAUUAUUUUUAUUUAAUUAAUAUUUUUUA